UUAAGCACAGCUAAUUUCUUCCUAUACUGUGAUGCCCCCAGAGACCAAAACAUUAGAGAGUUGAUAAUAAAAUUGAAUUAGCCCUUUGUGUGGCAGUAUUGAUUUGAGAGAUGUUACUCUCCAAUCUAAAAGAGAGCCCAUGCUUCAAAAACUGAGGAGACGUUUUCAGAAGUCAUAUCCUAAGAAACAAUUUACUCCCCAAAAUGAGCAAAUGCACUUAAGAAGUCUGGAUAAUCAAAUUAUGAUGAGCCUCACCAGCUAAAAAUGACCUGGUAGGACACCACUCUAUAUCCCUUUUUAAUAGGAGGCUAAAACAUGUAGCGAGAAGCAGAGCAUUUACAAUUAGUCUUUAAAUUCUGGGCUGAUCAGUGUCUUGGGCUGGUCUCCCAACAAGUGAGCUGGAACCCAGUUGAAGUUGGAUUGCACCAGCAAUAUCUCCACCUUUUAAGCAUUUCGAGAGAAGGAAGUGGAAAAUAAGGGGGAAAGAGGUGAAAUGGAAGAAGGGUCGACAUACAGUUAUAAAAAAGGAAAAGUGGAUCCCAAGUUGCAGGAUGCAGCUAAAGACGGAUCUAACAACGUAGUCUGGGCUCCGUGCCAAAGGCUGGUAUUUCACAGCAGCGACCGCCUUACAGAUGAGCUGUGGGAAGCAAGAGGGAGAAUCUCUUAGGGUGCCACUACUAUGGAGACACAGCUGGGCUGAACAUGAUUUGCUUCAUACGACAACAAGAGAGGCAGAAAAGUGUCUGGUUCAAGCGCUGCCCAAGCAGGCAGUAACCAGAAGAGCUAGCAGCCAAUCCGGCCAAGCUGCACUGUUCGAAACCAGCUCCACAUCUCAGCCAAUCAGUGACAUCAUUGGUCUUCGGGGAUUUUCACCAUGUAGCUGGCAACACAGAGUUCUUAUUUAACCAUCAGGCGUACUGCACAAAUGAUGUCUGGGUGCCUUGAAGACAUUUUUUAAAAGAGCUAGAUUUCUGCCAUUUCAGAAACUGGAGUGCUGUGAAAAAUUAAAAUGGAAAAGAAAACCGAAGAACUGGAUCAUGUAAGAACUGAAUGAAGCUGAGCUGCAUCAUGAAGAAAGACAGGAGUGAGUUAUAUACACCAGUCUCUGCCUCAGUGGCCAGGAUCUUUAUGGCUGCUGAUUCUUUGGCUCUGGGUUCAUCUGCCGAACAUCAUGGAUCUGUUCCUAAAAGUAGACAUUUUCUUUUCCAUUCUACAAUUGAGACUCAGAUGCCGAAGGAGAGAGAGUGAAUCUUUUCCGCAUUGUUGUUGUGCCAUUAAAAGUCUUGGACUUUAAAAGCAAAAAGUGAUUGGGCAAAAUACCUUCUUUCCCGCCUGCUAACUGUAUGAAGAAUAUUUUUUGAAAGUUCAAAUGUGGUUCAACCGACUCGGGACCAAGAAUGACAAGUUAGCUCAAAGUCAUUGUGUUCUGCAGUUUAGGAUGUGGAAAGUAAAUCUGCAUUCAAAAGUCAGGUGCUUUUUCAUAUUAGUAGAGAGAUACAUAUUCAAUAAAAGAAAGAAGGGGGAAACAUAAAUGAUACCCAAAGGGCAUUCUUGGUCUAAAAUGGCUUUAAGGUGCAGAAUGUUUUAGGGCCCACUGUAAAUAUGGUAGUGAAGAUAUAAUGCUGAACUGUUUAAUCUUUGUCUAAGCCACUGGGAAAAAUAGAAGGAGAGUGUUUAAAAGUCUGUUUGAAACAGAUGUAACCUGUUUUUAGCUUCCUGUUCUUACUUCUUUUGCAUGCACAACUUUGAUAGCCUUUAUAAAUGGGAGGGUUUAUUAAAUAAAUAAAUAAAUCUCAAUAAUAUCUUGCUCAUGCAACUGAAGGUCUGUUUUGUCAGUGUUAGUGGUGCCUCUUUUUGUUACAUCUUCCGCACUUGCUGAGAUACUUUCUAAAACAACAACAAAGCCCAAUCUGAUUAAUUGAAGAAGAAUUCGACUGGAUCUUAUCGGACUUUUCCUAGUCCCUGAGACCCUAACUUGUGAGGUUUUUUAGUAACAAUCACAAGUCAGGCUCUUGGGACCUAGGCGGAGGGGAACCAGCAACUUUGGACUUUAAUGAUUAACUUUCCACGAUAUUAGCAGCAUAAAAAGAUAUAUUUGUCGAUGGGGGAGGCAUGUGAUGUUUUGGCCCACAGAGAAAUGCAUUGUGCAGAAUAGAGAUGGUAACGUGCUGUGUUACAGGUUCAUAUAUUCAAACAGCUGUACUGUACUCUUUAAUGUUUUGAAUUAAUGUUGGGCCUUCAUUCAAGUGCUGGAGAAUAAAGCAUCUCUGUGAUUAGAUAAUGAAACUGUGCUUGACUCGUUUGCCAUUUCCACACUGAGGCCUAGCAAACCAGUAUCUUCCCCCUCCCACCUAUAAAGUUUUGAUGCAUUCUUUGUGUGUAGACAGGUAUUUGCUUGUCCUGUCAUUUUGUUCCAAUGUUUUAAAUGCUUUCAUCUCUGUUUCUCUGAUUGUAACCAGCAUCACAGCAUUCUAUAGCACUUCCAUAGUUUUACUGUAACAUAAAGCUAAUAUCUAAUGUA
This is a non-coding RNA of Podarcis muralis (Common wall lizard), 2521 nucleotides long. Lineage: Eukaryota; Metazoa; Chordata; Lepidosauria; Squamata; Lacertidae. The record is from RefSeq and is a predicted model, not a curated record.